UAGGGAAUCUUCCACAAUGGACGCAAGUCUGAUGGAGCAACGCCGCGUGAGUGAAGAAGGUUUUCGGAUCGUAAAGCUCUGUUGUAAGUCAAGAACGGGUGUGAGAGUGGAAAGUUCACACUGUGACGGUAGCUUACCAGAAAGGGACGGCUAACUACGUGCCAGCAGCCGCGGUAAUACGUAGGUCCCGAGCGUUGUCCGGAUUUAUUGGGCGUAAAGCGAGCGCAGGCGGUUUGAUAAGUCUGAAGUUAAAGGCUGUGGCUCAACCAUAGUUCGCUUUGGAAACUGUCAAACUUGAGUGCAGAAGGGGAGAGUGGAAUUCCAUGUGUAGCGGUGAAAUGCGUAGAUAUAUGGAGGAACACCGGUGGCGAAAGCGGCUCUCUGGUCUGUAACUGACGCUGAGGCUCGAAAGCGUGGGGAGCGAACAGGAUUAGAUACCCUGGUAGUCCACGCCGUAAACGAUGAGUGCUAGGUGUUGGAUCCUUUCCGGGAUUCAGUGCCGCAGCUAACGCAUUAAGCACUCCGCCUGGGGGAGUACGACCGCAAGG
Molecule: ribosomal RNA, 548 nt
Filed under: uncultured bacterium
Lineage: Bacteria
Description: partial 16S ribosomal RNA
Rfam family: Bacterial small subunit ribosomal RNA
Source: RNAcentral